UUGCAUAUCUAAUUUGAUGUGAACCCAAGCAGAAAAUAAAUGAGAGAGAGGCAGUGAUCUGAUGUUAGGAAGAAGGGAAAACAAUGAAAUUAGACAAAAAUAAAAUAGAUUAAAAAUCAGAAGCAUAACAUGAAAUGAAUGAUUAAUUGACUAACGACCUGAAAAUCUAUGCAUUCAAAGUUAUAUCACAAUGCAAUGUGUUCACCACAAUAUAACAUCAAUUUGAAGGAAAUAUUUUUAUUGAGAAAUUACUUGAUAACGACAAGUUUUUAAGCUUAAUUUACAACAACUGAGAUGAUUAGCUGAACCGUAGAAAAAUAGUACCUUCUUCUAAAGCUCAGCAAUCCACUAGUCCUCCGCCCCUUGCUGGAGAAGGAAAUGAUGGCAAAACUCAAUUCCUUUUCCCUUCCGCAGCUGCAUAUUAUGAGAACCCGCAACAAGAGGUACAGUUCUUUACACAGCUAACAACUCCACAUGGAUGUUGUCCAAGAACCCACUGUCCACUGAUACAAUCUCGCCCUCCAAUCUCUUUCUUUGCCGGUAAAUUUGCAGUGUUGGGCGCUACCGGCUAGCUUGAUUAGCGGAAACAUGACAAUCUGAUGCUUUUAAUGGCUGUGCAUGCUAUACAAUUGACAAUUUUUUCACGGGAAGGUUCGUGUAGUUUACAAGUUGACGGAAAAACAAUGGGUAGAGGAAAAAGUGUCCCUGUCGUUUAUGAUCGAUAAGAUUGGGAAAGUUUCCUUUCCACAGGAAUCAUAUCUGCCUGAAAGACACAAAAAGUUUCCGUCCAAAUUAAAAAAAUAAAAAAUAAAAAAUGAACCUGCAGUCUUCAAUCAAUUGGUUACUAGCAACUGGAAGAAGAUUGACAAUAAUUUCUCUCAGUUCUCUCUUUUCCUCUCCUCUCUCUUUCUGUUUCUUGUUUCCAUCCCUUUCUAUUCUUUUCUCUGUUACCAAGCAGAUAUUGGAUUGAAUUAGAAUUCAAUCCAAUAUCUAGUGGUAUUAAAAGUAGCGAUGUGCUGAUGCAUUGAUGCUAUAAAAAGUUUCUUGUUUUUUUAUGGAAACCGCCUGAUUAUUCUUUAGUAUGGCUAUCUUUGGGGCCUUCUGGCAUGUGGGGAGUUCUGAAGAGCAGAAAAGGAGACAUUUCUUCUUCUAUUUUGCUUGUCCAAAGGUGUCAUGGAAUCAAAUGAAGCUACAAUAUUAGCCAUUAAAAAAGAGCCGAGUAACCCAUAAAAGAGAUUUACUGUAUCCUUUCAAAGUCUUAUAAGUAGUGUUAAUUGCUGAAUUAAAUUAUCUAAGGAAUUGGCGCUAAGAUGUUGAUUUCUCCAGUGAGUUCAGAUGUCUCACUAGUACUUGUUCUGCACCCAGAAAGGCCUUCACAUAAAGAGUGGGUCAGUACUCACACAGUGGAAGCAAAAUUUUUAAGCAAGCCUGUAUUCUAUGAUAGGCUUUCAAACCUGGACCAAACUAAACUUACAGUAAAAUAUUAGCUCAGGUGCAGGUGCUAAUAGGAAUGGAGGAACUAAACCCAUUUCCUUCAGAAUAAUGGGCGAUUGUAGUUUUCGAGGAUGCUAUGGGGCGUCUAUACUCUAUAGCCAGAUUUAGUUAUUGAAGCUAUUGUGGAAUCUGAAGAUGUGAAGAAAAAGUUGUUUCUUCAAGUUCAUAAGAUUGUUAAAGUUUCGGCCAGUUUGGCUUCUGAUACAAGUUCUAGUUCUAUCUCCAUAACUCAUCUUGCAUCUGCAACUAACAGAUUGUGUCAUAUUAUUUCUUCUUUUGCCCUUAAUUUACCUUAGAACAUCUAAUAAGAAUACUUGCAUAAAUUAACUAAUUGUCUCUUAUACCAACUUUUGCACAGGUCUCAAGGGACUCUGGAGUUUCUGUUUUCCUUUUCAUCAUGGUUAUGUAUUGAUCUCAACAUAAUAUUCUAACUAGGUCGAAAAAAACUUAUUAUCUGAAACAUAAUUGGCAUUCAAAUGAUUAUUAUUAGUAUUCUCCAUAUAUACAAAAUUAAAAAAUAUAUUCUGGCGGUGCUUCAUUCUCUGUUUCCCCUAUGUUUUAAGUUGCAAUAAGCAAGUACAAUCCUCUUUUAUUGCUUUUAUUUAAUUAAUUGUAAUCCUCUGUUUUAAGUUGCAGGAGAACGUUCAUACAGGAAUAAAGUUAGGAACAAACCAUCCAAUUGGUCCUUUAAAGCUUGCAGAUUUUUGGAACAUUGAUAGUGUAGUAUUUUGCCAAUAAUGCAAUGCUUUAUCAAUUACCAUUUACUCCAACUGUGUUGUUUUCUGCCUUUGCACUCUUGUAAAUUAAGAACAAGUUCUAUAGAAAAGUCCGCAGAAUUUUAUGAA
This is a long non-coding RNA of Hevea brasiliensis (rubber tree), 2339 nucleotides long. RefSeq lists it as uncharacterized. The transcript is spliced from 2 exons. NCBI's taxonomy places the organism in Eukaryota, Viridiplantae, Streptophyta, Magnoliopsida, Malpighiales, Euphorbiaceae. The record is from RefSeq and is a predicted model, not a curated record.